AAGACGUGGGGAAGAGAUGAGAGCAACUGGGUAGGCCUCACGGCGCCGGGGUCCUUACCGUCCGUGUUGGCCACAGGGAACACCCGCUAUCAGCGCCGGCGGCGUGGGGGCACCCGCGGUCCCACCUCAGCGUCGGGGGUCGGGGGGCGCCCGCAGUCCCACCUCAGCGCCGGGGGUCGAGGGGCGCCCACGGUCCCACCUCAGCGCCGGNNNNNNNNNGUUCCACCUCAGCGCUGGGGGUCGGGGGGCGCCCGGGGUCCCACCUCAGCGCCGGCAGCGGGGUCGCCCAGGGUUCCACCUCAGCGCCGGCGUUGGGGGGCGCCUGCGGUCCCACCUCAGCACCGGGGGGCGGGGGGCGCCCACGGUCCCACCUCAGCGCGGGGUGCCCGCCGCCAGGCUCGCCGCCCGAGGCCAAGGCCAGGUGCUGCCGCCACGGUGGAGCCCGGGAGACAGGAGAUGGCACCUCAGCGCCGGCAGCGGGGUCGCCCAGGGUUCCACCUCAGCGCCGGCGUUGGGGGGCGCCUGCGGUCCCACCUCAGCACCGGGGGGCGGGGGGCGCCCACGGUCCCACCUCAGCGCGGGGUGCCCGCCGCCAGGCUCGCCGCCCGAGGCCAAGGCCAGGUGCUGCCGCCACGGUGGAGCCCGGGAGACAGGAGAUGGCUGUGGCGGCUGACAAGCAAGGGCAGCUGGGCUCUAGCACCGGGCAUGAGUCUUCACUUACCGGAACGUCAUCUAAGAAGACGGCGGCAACACCAACAAUCUCAACAUGAUUGUCAGUCAGGUACCUCUUUUGCUGAGACGGAUGCCUGUAAACACUUUCUACCUAUCCCAUCCCCCAAAUGACUCUGAAAAAACGACUCUUCUCUAGACAUUUACUUGACCCAGCCUGCAAACAACUUGGGGAUCGAAGCACAUUUUCAUAGAAGUAAGUUUGUUGAAGUUCAGUAAGAAAAAGAUGCUAUGCUUUCAACAUCACAGGAGAAUAAUUUAUUAAAAUCUGCUUUUAAAUGUAAUUGAUAGGACACAUUUAGUAAGACAUGAAAAUAGAACCUAUGUUUUAGUAGCACACCAGCACUUUUCACUUCCAUUUUUGCCAACUGUGAUGAUCACUAACACCUAUGUGCCUCCUACCCUGUUACUAUUCUUUAAAUCGGCUUGAUACUGCUUUUUU
RNAcentral lists this long non-coding RNA (1171 nucleotides) under Vulpes vulpes (red fox). Its description in RNAcentral is "lncRNA (ENSVVUG00000018840.1)". Lineage: Eukaryota; Metazoa; Chordata; Mammalia; Carnivora; Canidae. The record is from RNAcentral.